Molecule: ribosomal RNA, 440 nt
Filed under: uncultured bacterium
Lineage: Bacteria
Description: partial 16S ribosomal RNA
Rfam family: Bacterial small subunit ribosomal RNA
Source: RNAcentral
CCUACGGGGGGCAGCAGUGGGGAAUAUUGCACAAUGGGGGAAACCCUGAUGCAGCAACGCCGCGUGAGUGAAGAAGUAUUUCGGUAUGGAAAGCUCUAUCAGCAGGGAAGAAAAUCACGGUACCUGAGUAAGAAGCCGCGGCUAACUACGUGCCAGCAGCCGCGGUAAUACGUAGGGGGCAGGCGUUAUCCGGAUUUACUGGGGGUAAAGGGGGCGUAGACGGCGAUGCAAGUCUGAAGUGAAAGCCCGGGGCUCAACCCCGGGACUGCUUUGGAAACUGUAUGGCUGGAGUGCUGGAGAGGCAAGCGGAAUGCCUAGUGUAGCGGUGAAAUGCGUAGAUAUUAGGAAGAACACCAGUGGCGAAGGCGGCUUGCUGGACAGUAACUGACGUUGAGGCUCGAAAGCGUGGGGAGCAAACAGGAUUAGAUACCCCUGUAGUC